RNAcentral lists this long non-coding RNA (1034 nucleotides) under Bemisia tabaci. RNAcentral describes it as "lncRNA ENSSSA3NGG009744". The record is from RNAcentral. Lineage: Eukaryota; Metazoa; Arthropoda; Insecta; Hemiptera; Aleyrodidae.
CCAGUCACCAUUUGAUCGGAAAUUGAUGGAAAUUUGAGCGUGUAACCAGCAUAUUAGGACGGCAGAACACCAUACCAACUUUCAAAUUUUAAAUUUUCAGAUUUCUAACAUUAUUUUCGUGUGUUGCAGGUUUAAGCGGCCUCGGGGGGUUGAGCGAGGAGGACCGGAUAGUAGCCAAGCUCGCGAAUAUCAUCAAAGAACGGGAGGAGAGAUGGUCGUCGACGUCCGACUCGGAUCCCGAGGGCGGGGAGAGGAGAGGAGAGGGGAGAAGGAGCGAGAGAGGGGCAGGAAACCGGGCCUCCUCUUCUCUUACCACUUCCCUAACCAAUCGCCCGAGAACAACGAGUCCCCUUUCGCCGUGCCCCCGACGGAUCCCAGAUAUCAUCAAAAUUUAGCUCCUGAUGCGUUGGCCCCGCAGUCCGAAUCGUCAGCGAGCAGGGGGUCUCAAAGAAACUACGUUGUAGACACUCAAAGAUAUGAGACUCCAAUUUCAAGAAACCCCAAUUCAGCGAAAACACGCCUUGCACACACCUUUGAGGACAGCCCGUACAGUGAGGGAAACAAAUACUCAUCGAAGGAAUCGGUUCCAAUGAGUAACAUGGGGCAGUUCUCUAGUAAAUCUUCGGACGAUGAAGAUGACGAAGAAAAUGAAGGUUCCAUGGACCAAAAGGAGAGCCCGUCGGAACCGUCGCCCCGGCCCGCUUCUACCAAUUCGAGAGGGUCAUCAAAACCCCACUAUUUCUAUCGACAGAAAACUGGGAUAGUAACGACAUGUAUUACAUGGGUAAGUGUCAACCUGUCACGGGUAUUUCUCUUUCCGUCUCCCGUCUCCUGGCCAGAUGACUGCUUUGACACAGUCGCCAGUUUUCCCUGAAAAUCAGCAUCAUUUCCUUAAGGGGCCGGUUCAAGUUAGAGUCCCUUUAUACCCAGAGUUACGACAGCUCAUUUUUCGUUGGGCUGAAGGUGGCCUAAAAAAAAAAUCCAAUUCUGAUUGGUUCUCGCUCAUGGAGUCACCAACCAGUGCACCAAGAUGG